RNAcentral lists this non-coding RNA (30 nucleotides) under Homo sapiens (human). Lineage: Eukaryota; Metazoa; Chordata; Mammalia; Primates; Hominidae. The record is from RNAcentral.
UUGGAGAAUAAAGAGCCAGAUGGUCAGGAU